AUAGAGACUCAGAGCUGCAUAUCAAUAAGCGGAGGAAAAGAAACUAACAAGGAUUCCCUUAGUAACGGCGAGUGAAGCGGGAAGAGCUCAAAUUUGAAAUCUUCAAGGUUCUACCUUGACGAAUUGUAGUUUAUAGAAGUGUUUUCUGUUAGUAGAGUGGCAAAAGUUCUUUGGAAUAGGACAUCAUAGAGGGUGAGAAUCCCGUAUUUGGUCAUUCUUUCUAGCUUUGUGAUACACUUUCAACGAGUCGGAUUGUUUGGGAAUGCAGUCCAAAAUGGGUGGUAAAUUUCAUCUAAAGCUAAAUAUUGGCGAGAGACCGAUAGCGAACAAGUACCGUGAGGGAAAGAUGAAAAGAACUUUGAAAAGAGAGUUAAACAGUACGUGAAAUUGUCAAAAGGGAAGCGUUUGACACCAGUGUUGUUUUUCCGAAAAUCAAUUACGAAUGUUUUAUUUUUGAGAAGUUAUGACUUCAUCGGCUUGCUCCUUUCUUUACGAAACUUUCUUAAUGCACUUUUCGGUUAACAAGUCAACAUCAAUUUCUUUUGUUGUAAAAGGGUAUGAGGAAGGUGGCCUUCUUUUCGGAGAAAGUGUUUAUAGCCUUGUGCCUCUGCAAUCGGAGAGAUUGAGGUCUGCAGCGUAGAUCCUUCGGGGUUAGAUACAUUUGUGCUAAGUUAUAGCUUUUCAUAGACAACUUGUUGACUAUGUUUAGUCUUGUAGCUUACUCGCUUAUGCUAUUUUACCUACGCUUAGGAUGUUGACGAGACUGUCGAUCUC
Molecule: ribosomal RNA, 774 nt
Filed under: uncultured Neocallimastigales
Lineage: Eukaryota; Fungi; Neocallimastigomycota; Neocallimastigomycetes; Neocallimastigales
Description: partial large subunit ribosomal RNA
Rfam family: Eukaryotic large subunit ribosomal RNA
Source: RNAcentral